AAUAGGGCGCUUUAGUUGCUAGUAAUAGACCCGAAACCGGGCGAUCUAGCCAUGGCCAGGUUGAAGGUGCCGUAACAGGCACUGGAGGACCGAACCCACCUAUGUUGAAAAAUGGGGGGAUGAGCUGUGGAUCGGAGUGAAAGGCUAAUCAAACCGGGAGAUAGCUGGUUCUCCUCGAAAUCUAUUUAGGUAGAGCGUCGUGUCUUACCCUGGGGGGUAGAGCACUGUUUGGGCUAGGGGGUCAUCCCGACUUACCAACCCCAUGCAAACUCCGAAUACCCAGGAGUACAAUCACGGCAGACAGACAGCGGGUGCUAACGUCCGUUGUCAAGAGGGAAACAACCCAGACCGCCGGCUAAGGUCCCAAAUGACGUGCUAAGUGGAAAACGAAGUGGGAAGGCACAGACAGCCAGGAGGUUGGCUUAGAAGCAGCCACCCUUUAAAGA
Molecule: ribosomal RNA, 446 nt
Filed under: Oxyrrhis marina
Lineage: Eukaryota; Dinophyceae; Oxyrrhinales; Oxyrrhinaceae
Description: partial Bacterial large subunit ribosomal RNA
Rfam family: Bacterial large subunit ribosomal RNA
Source: RNAcentral